CAUCUUCCACGUACGUUAUCUUCCCUUCUCUAAUGUGCGGAAGCACAAACUCCAAGAACUUUGAGUAUUUGUCAUAGAAAUCAAAAACUACAAAGCCUUGAAUGCGGAUUCGUUUGUAGAUUAUGUUGGAUAGGUUGUGUACACCUUCCUGGUUCUCAAGAUUGUACUGUGAGAUCAUUCCACAGACAGCGAUACGCCCGUGUGGGUUCAUGUUUACGAGCACUGCGUUUAGCAUUUUGCCUCCUACAUUCUCAAAGUAUAUGUCAAUGCCAUUAGGGAAACACCUGGAAAAGAAAAGGAGAAUAUUUCUUAGAUUAGUCAAAAAGCAAUUGAUUAGAUAUUAAUCAAUUGAGUUUAUCCCCAAUUAAGUGGUUUCACAGGUAGAAUCAUGGUGUUCAUGCUAUUAUCCAUUUCUUUUGUUUCUACUUUAGUUUUGAAUUCUGGCUUUAUUAUGCAAACCGAUCCUAACAGUUAUAGACAUCAAACAGUUCAAAAUUAGUGGUAAUUAACCAAACCUUUUGAGGGCAGCAGUAAGGUCAGGUUCUUCCUUGUAGUUAAAUGCAUCAUCAAACCCAAACUUGGUCUUGAGGAGAUCAACCUAAAAAGAAGUAAAGGGGUAAUCAUUCUCUUGAAUGAGAACUAAGAAACAUAAGGAAACAAAUCAUGGAAAUGAUGAUCAAAUUCUCACCUUUUCUUUGCUACCAGCGCUUCCAACAACAUAGCAGCCCAACAUCUUAGCAAAUUGCCCCACAAGCUGACCAACCGCACCAGAUGCAGCUGACACAUAAACUGUCUCUCCUUUCUUUGGAGAACAAACUUCAUAAAACCCAGCAUAGGCGGUCAUACCGGGCAUACCUGUCAGGACAGGACAAAACCCAUCAGAGAGUGAAUAUAUGAAACAGAUCAACAAACCAAACAGUUGAAACUCUAGUCUUCUAGCUAGAUUGAAGUUAUAACUAAUUCCAUUCCUAUGUUUCAAAGAUUUGUUAGACAUCCAUAACGAUUAUGACAUUCAACUACAUGAUCUUUGUCUCAAGCCAAAACUUUGUAUGAAGAAGCAGAGAUUUCCAAAGUUUACAGAAUGAUUCCACUUACAAAACCAUGAAAACGGCAGAGAUUAACAUACCGAGAAGUCCCGUGUAGUAAGAUAAUGGAACAUCGGUAUGCUGGAUCUUGAAAUGCACGUGAGGUGUUGGAGUGAUAACAGAGUACUCCUCCCAUGCAACUAUACCCCAGAGUAAGUCUCCUUUUUUGUAAUCUGGAUGUCCAGAUUCUACCACUCUGGACACUACAUACCCUUGGAUUGGCUGCACCAAAACACACAAUGGGAAUUAAAAACAGUCAACAAGAUAGAGAUAGCAAAAAGUAAAACCCAAAGAGACACAAUUUAUUCUCAGAGUCAUCUUCAAGAACACCAAACCGUCAUCACAAAAAGUAUACUAUUAUUAUAAUAAGAUAUUGUUCUGUUCACAAAGUAUAAGUAUUUAUAUGCCAAAAGAGAAUUCAAAUAAUAAUCAUGCAAACCAAACCAAACAUUAUCAUCAUAGUCGAUGGUACCUGGCCGGGAGUGUAAGCUUGAGCAAGAGCAGCAGUGGAAGGAUCAGGUUUCCCCAUGCGAAUCCUCAUGUAAGGAUCGCAUGACAAGUAGAGAUUCUUCACCAGAACCAAGUUAGAACCUUCCGGAACCUUAAGUUCGACGGUGGUGGUUGUGAAAUCGAAAUCGGAUUCCUUAGGGAAACCAUUCACGUAGUCUUUCAAUAUGACCUGCUUGUUCGUCGCCGUCAUCGUUAACUCUUCUUCCUCGAUUCAACUUCUGACUUCACCCAUUUGUUACUUCUUCUUCGGUUUUUCGAGGACGUGGCUGUUUUUAUAGUGACAUCUCCUGUGUGCCACUAAUCAAUCUCAUGAUAUCAACUUAUCAAGUAUGACGUCACUGCUUAUGUUUAUUAUUUAUCAGAUACUUUCUCUUUCGAGGCUUCGAGCGUUUUUUUUUUUUUCACAUUUUUGGUAUAUAUCUCCUUUCACGUUUUCAUUUUUUUUUUUUUUUUUUUUUUUUUUUGAAGUAGUAGUAUUAAAUUUCUCAUUAAUGAUAUAUGAAUAUCUAGAAGUAGUAGUAUUAAAUUUCUCAAUAAUGAAGUAGUACUCCCUCCGUUUCGUUUUAGUUGUCGUUUAAGGUUUUUUCACACAAAUUAAGAAAGCAUUAAAUUUUCUGUUUUACUCUUUAUUAAUAUAUUUUAUAAAAAAAUUCAUUGGCCAAAACAUUAAAACUGUAGGGAUAAAACUGGAAUUUUCACCAAACAUUUGCAUUGAAAACCUAAAACGACAACUAUUAUGAAACAAAAUUUAAAUCCUAAAACGACAACUAAACUGAAACGGAGGGAGUAGUACACUACAGAUGUAAAAAACUUGAGCGUUUUUUAUCCUUUUAAACUGUAGUAGUAUUAAAUUUCUCACUAAUGAUAUCUGAAUUUUUUUUGUAUCGGGCUAUAUAUUUUGUUAAAACUUCAGUGAUCUCUCUAAAGUCUAAACGUAACACUGUGGUUAAUCCAGAUUCAAUAGCUCUAUUGGUAGUCUGGUACUAGCAGACUUUCCAAAGAAAAUUUGCCUCAAGGUCUUCGCUAUUAUAGAGAAAAACUUGCUUUGAUCCUCGACCAGAGGGGAGGGUACCUACGGACCUGAAACCCAUAAUGGCAUAAUCUUUGAGUUGCCAAAAUUUAAACACGUUGUGGUCAAUAUCCUCAUUUGUGGUCACCUAACUGACAAAAUUGGGUAGUUUACUAAUUUACCAGAGAGACAACACAUAUGACAUAUCUCACCAAACCUACAAAACAGUAUCCCAGCUUCCCAAUAGUUCCCGCAAAACAGAGCCAUGUAAUUGUGAUUUUGAUGUUAGCAGCAACACUAACUGUAGUCAUUGAUGUUUAAACACGCAUACUGGGGAGUUGGGAAUAUGAGCUACAAAACAUGGGUUUGUAUUUUUCUUUUUUUUUUUGGAUUUGUGAGAGAGGUUUGGGCUUCUUUGUUACUACUUCCAUACAUUUUAUGAACAAUUCACAUAAAACCAAUAACAAACAAAUUCAUAUUACUGUAUAUUAAAAUUUACUAUAUUUACUCUUUAUUAUUCAUAAACCAGAAACUCACGGUUAGGUUCAACAGCCAUACAAAAUAUUGUUGGAUAAAUAUAACAUUACUCCCAAAUAAGUAUUCUUCAAUCACGCUCAAUACAACAUUACUCCCAAAUAAGUAUUCUUCACUCACGAGCAACAACGACAACUUGUUUCCCAACGUUCUUACCAUGGAAGAGUCCCACAAGCGCUUCAGGACCUUUCUCAAGCCCAUCAGCUACAUCUUCCACAUACGUUAUCUUCCCUUCUUUAAUGCACGGAAGCACAAACUCCAAGAACUUUGAGUAUUUGUCGUAGUAAUCAAACACUGCAAAGCCUUGAAUGCGGAUUCGUUUGUAGAUUAUGUUGGAUAGGUUGUGUACACCUUCUUGGUUUUCAAGAUUGUACUGUGAGAUCAUUCCACACACAGCGAUACGUCCGUGUGGGUUCAUGUUUAAGAGCACUGCGUCUAGCAUUUU
RNAcentral lists this long non-coding RNA (3583 nucleotides) under Arabidopsis lyrata. RNAcentral describes it as "long non-coding RNA (ALYR_LNC001227)". Lineage: Eukaryota; Viridiplantae; Streptophyta; Magnoliopsida; Brassicales; Brassicaceae. The record is from RNAcentral.